This 238-nucleotide long non-coding RNA is filed under the name Setaria italica (foxtail millet). RNAcentral describes it as "long non-coding RNA (SITA_LNC006908)". The record is from RNAcentral. Lineage: Eukaryota; Viridiplantae; Streptophyta; Magnoliopsida; Poales; Poaceae.
AGAGAGCGAAAUUCAAAAUGAAAGCUGAUUCUUCCAAUUCUAUUUGAAUCAAAGUAUUGUAAAUAAAGUGUAGAGGCUACUCCAGGUGAUGACCAAGCUAGGAACUACACAAAUAAGGAGAUCGGAUACAAACAAACUUCUAGGGCACAAGAUAGUAAAGAAUUCAACAACAAGUGAGACAAAGAUUUGUUACCGGAGUUCACUCUCACUAAGAGAGCUAUGUCUCCAUUGAGGAGCU